AUGCGAUAGUUACGAGGUUAAAGAUUGAUGUUGGGUCUCUGAUAAACGAAUCAAUUAAGAAGGCUAUCAACAGUAAGGUUAUGUCGGGACUCCCGCACCCUUCCCUGAUCACCCGACUCUGUAGGAAGGAGGGUGUGCAAUGGGAAAUCGAAGAUGUGACAUUGCCUCCUAUGUCUGUAAUUGACCAUCAAUUAAUUAGCCGUUACUCAGUUUGGGAGGGAGCUCCAUCGCAUCCCCGUGGUGAAGGAUUCUUUCCAGCACCGCCGUUACCGC
RNAcentral lists this long non-coding RNA (273 nucleotides) under Panax ginseng (ginseng). Its description in RNAcentral is "long non-coding RNA (PGIN_LNC008410)". The record is from RNAcentral. Lineage: Eukaryota; Viridiplantae; Streptophyta; Magnoliopsida; Apiales; Araliaceae.